CUUUCGUUAGUGUUCACGUGUUUGAUAUCACUUCAUGAAAAUAAACAUAUUGAUAUAUGAAUCGUUAAGAAGUAUCUACUACAAUAUUAUAUACUUACUAGUAGACCAUAUUUUAUAUUAACGGAUAAUAAACGAUGCAGAUUGUAAUGAUAUUACUGCGAGAUGGGAGUAAACUUUAAUAUGGUGUAUCGUGUUAUACUUUUUCGUUUGAUUGGGUAUCGUCAUCUCGCGAGUCCACUAUUGUUGACUUCACGUAACAAACACACUGAUAUACGAGUACGCUGUAUUUCAGGCAAAAGUCUAGGUAAUUUGAUUGAGGACGCGUUUUGGAACGUUAAUUGCGCAGAAGGAUGCGCAGAAGGAUGCGCAGAACGUCUGUCAGGUGGUAAACGUCGAGAGUGUGAUUUCAGAAAUUUGUUGGAGUUAUUUUUGAUGCUCGAGGCGGCGGCAGUCGAGGAAAAUUUACUACGCUGCGGAGAAUCAUGUCGGUUGGUCAACAACACAGAAUUCACGACGCUAGCGAAAUCGACAUAACCAAUUGAUUGGAGAUCUAAACAUACAAACAACAAGCAAGAUUUAACAAAAGAAGUCGAAAAUCACUUGGGAAUCUUUGACAGCAUCGCUGACGGGAUUUCAGAGGUUCCUCAAGAUAAUGAUACUACACAAGCAAGGGGAUUUGAAGAAAUCUUCUGUUGCCUGUCCUUUCUUCCACGUUUACAAAAACGUUCUACAAUUGGAACUAUUGGAACUAAGGAAGAAUUGGAACUAACUGGAAAACAAGACAGCUCCUUAUAAUUUCCCUGGUCGACCUCUCUAUAAUCCAUAAAAGUUGGCGUGGCUUAGGUUUUAAAACUGGUUCCGAUUGUCGAAUAGAGCUGUGACGCGCGAGAGUAUCCACGGCCAGACAUGUUUGGAGUUCGGACUUGUCGAGAGGCGCGGAUGCGUAAAGGUGGACAUGACACUAGGAAACUAAAUACCGGUCGACCGAUCCUAUGAUCCCCGCAGAGAGUUUGACCGCUGUCAAAAAGCAUUGGCCCGUCUGGACCUAUCUCACUUAAUUUUCGUUAAAGUCACCGAAUCGGGGAUUGGAUCGUCGACAGUCCGGAAUCGUCUUACCAGUAUCUUUCUCUAUUCACACUGAGCAUCGUGUCGAUCGAUAGUAACGAUGGUUUAGAAUAGAUUGGACCCGAUUUCAUAAGAGGAAAUCUGUAGACGUAAUACGAAAGUGUGUCUCUUAGUGCUGUCACCUUAAUACUUCUUCACUUGAAUUUGAAUACUCGCAAACAAUACAUGAACAGUUUGUUGUCUAUUUGUCAUCUUUUUUACAUACUGUUCGUAAAUAUGUUUGUGAAAUAAGUUAUGUGAUAUCACUUACUGUAAGUGUUCGUCUUAAGAAAUCGUUAAAUUGUUCAUAUUUUCAUUUGAAUUUCUUUUUUUCAGGUUGAACAUUGAAGUUCAAAUGACGAUAAAAACGUACAACUACAGAUUUAUACAGAAGAUGACAACCUUUCUUAUUACUCUCGGAUACAUCAUGGCUUUCAUCACCCAUAUGUUAUCGCGGUCCAAUUAAAAUUCAGAUUUACUGGCGGCAGACGUAGUAGCAAUAUUAAGGAUCAGGGAACCAUUUCACGAGCGAAGACGACGUUUCGUUCUCCGUAACCCCUUGCACGGUUAAUGAAGAGUUCGCUAUAUCCCGGGAUGGCAGCUGACGUUGCAUUCAUGCAUGAGAGUGCCGCGUCCCGGUCAUUUGGCCUGUGGUGCGACUAAAAACAAGGCAGCGCUCUCGAGUUUUGUCCCAUCGGUGGCCGGUAACGCGCCUUCCAUGGGGACCAGCAGCAAAAGAAAAUUUCAAAGGGGACCAUCGACCCGCUGGCCCACACAUCGAGUUGCCGGAACAUGCGGAUUAAGCCAUUAAAGCCUGCUUCAAGCUGUUUCGGGGAAAUUCACGAGACAGAGAGUUCGUUAUUGUUACUCUGUCACAAGCAAAACUGCUGUCCGUUUGUUUCGAUACAUGCGACGAAUGAACCGUCGUGUCGCCAAGAGAUUAUUAUUGAACCUGCACAUUGAUUCUCUUGCUAUAGGAUAAGGGAGAGAUAUUUGAGUCAAGCUAAGUAAUUCGCCAAAUUAUUUUGUUUACCAACAAUUUGUACGACUUACAUUUGAAAACACAUUAUUUUAACUGACGUGGUAUAUCCUUGUUAAUUCAAAUAGGGUUAUUAUAUAUAUAGGCUACCAUAGGGUUAUUUGAAUCAUUUUCUCAUGCAUAAGCAUGUAUGAUAUUUUCUCAUUCUUUCCUUAUUAUAUCCAAGAUUAAUCACAUUUCAUUUGAUUAUUCCAUGCAAAAUUAAAAAUUAAAUUUUAAGAUGUUGAAGAUAUUGACACAAGUAACCCUAACUUACUACCAUACCUAGCUUUAAUAUUCAUAAUUCUACUUUUAAGUUAUGUUCUGAUGUGCAUAUAACAAUCAAGUACUGAUGUGUUUGUGUAAUCCACCCUUCGGUUUAAUUUCGUGAUUUUCAGUAAAUUUUCAAUAAAAUGUCUAUGCACAUCUUUCAUGUACUAAGAGAUACCUUGAUGUUUAUUUGAAAUUUCUACGAAGAUUCUUAUCGACUCCUCAAGCUCGUAAAAGUAUGCCUUCGUUUCACCGCGUGAAACGACCAACAAAUUACACAACGGUCAGACUUUUACUUGAAUGAGCAAAGAACCGCGAGAACAGCGAUGGUCAAGCACGCGCGAGACCUUCCACGAGAUAAUUUAUUGGUCAAUCAAAAUGACGCAUGGAGGUAUAAGGUGACACGUCAGCGUGCACGGUUGACCAUUAAUUUUAAUACCCGUCACCAUCAGAUCUCCCGACGCUGCUUUCCACGUUGGCUCCCCACUGACGGUGGAGCGUAUCCAUCGGCAUCGGCUACCGUACGACUAAUGCUCCGUUCACUAACGACGAUCAUCCUUGAAGAUCUCGGUCUACCGAUCUCUCACGGUCGCCACGAAUUAUUAUCCUUCUCUUAAUCCUGCGUAGCUGACCCGCCGCACCACCCUAUCGGGUGGCGAUUUCAAUAAUGGAACAAAUCGAAGGAUUAAGCUUUUUGAAUAUAUAGAAAAAAAUUGGGGAACUUAGAGAAACAAACAAAUUUUCGAAACGGAGUUAGAGAUUAGACAUCAUCUUUUAUGUACAACUUCCACAAAAUAACAGCAAAAGAAAUGAUCGUGAAUAUAAUACACUGAUAAAGAGACAAGAGGAUAACGAAGAAAAACGAAAAGCGGAAUAAACCAAUAAAUACCUACAAUCUUGUGAAAAAUCAUGCAAUUAAGAUACGAUCAGACGAAAGCUGCGAGCUGCCGUCCGAAUAUAUCAAUGGUACGCCAAGAACGCGUCGAGAGGUAUGCAAGCACGGUGCUUAUCUGGUGUCCGAGGCGCGCAACUAGAGAAUUCUAGGACGUUAUUUACGGCUGAUUAACAGGCUCAAUAAUUCCCUUCCGCAUUACUUUAUUGAGUCCCAUGGCCCACGCGCGAUUUGCCUGCGAUUUAUGACGCAAGAUAAACCGAUACCACUGCCUCCUGAUCGGCUCGUUCUAUUGGGCUGAUCUCGUAUGUAAACAGAGGCCGAACCAAACUGACCGGUAAUCUCCGACGAAUUUGCAUCUGGUUCUUUUUCUAAACAGUUCGAGCGAACCAGGUAAUAUGCAGCGUGUUGCAUGCAUAAAAGGGAAACACGCAUACGUUGAAACGACGAAACAGAAUUGUCUUUCACGAGGAUCAAAUCGUGCGACUCCCGUGAAACGGAAACCAUUUGUUUCCCAACGAUUCAGGGAUUAUUCCAGCCGCAUCUGUUUAACGCGCAUCAUCAACGUUUCAAUCGGUAACACCAGCAUCUACGGUCAACAUCUAAUCCCUAUUCGUUUCAUCGACUAUUCCAAAGUGGCGGAGUAUACGUCAACGUGAAAUGAAUCACGGUAUGCUGACGGUUCUCGAGACGGAUGCAUAAUUUCGAGGCUCGAAGCUCCCAAGGCUGGUUCCUGUCCCCGCCGCGUUACAGAAGGCGCACACGGUUGCUCAGGAAUGUCGAACGGGUCGGUCACAGGGUUAAUGUUUGCUGCCUCCUCACGUGCCUCUGACUUUUCUCCCUGGUUGUAUCUCAUUUGUAAAGAUUCCGGGACAAAGGAGCCACCAAGAACCGUUUGUGUGGCUUCGCGGCUCGCUUCACCCAUAAGUAGUCUCGACUUGGGCCAUGUACGCCUGCCGGACAGACAGAAGCGCGAGUCUGUCAAGUGGCGCGAUUAUAAUCUGACAGGGACGUAUCGGUUGCCGGCCUUUCUUCCCGAUUCCGAGCAAUCGACAAUAUAUUUUGGAGUCAAGCGUUACUAGGUGCCGAGCAUCGAAUAUUUCCAUGACUUACAAGUGACGUAUCGCAUUACAAACAGGGCCAAAUAUUUAUUUUUACGUAUACGUCGCAUGCGAAGGACAUACUGCACGAAAUAUUUGUUAUUGCAUAUUAUGAUUUACACUCACUUUAAGGUUGUCAAGUUUAAUUACAAUGCCUUAUUUCAGAAUGUACGUGUAAGUAAUCGAAUUUAUGAGAAUCGAUGGAGUUGAGCCUACGUUUGAUGUUCACGAGAUAUCGUUUAAAUUCAACUGAUGAAAUAUUACGGGAUGGUUCAGGUACGUUCCCGAAAGCGAGGCUGAUCCUUCGGACAUCCUGGACGAUCCUUGGCCGACAACCUUUGGGCUCCAUUAUCGAAAAAGAAAAAUGGGCACACCAAUACACGAAGAAACCAAUGAAAUUAUUUAUUCUCCAACGUCGACGAACUCUAUCUUCGAUCUUCUUAUUUCCGACCCUAACGAUGGCUAUCUAACUUCAACAUGAUUUCAACUUUUCAUCGGUAAGUUGACUUAAAAGCUUCGACUCUACUAUGAAUUUUCAAUUUUCAGGGACAAAUUCGUACAAACGUCGCGAGUUUCUCAUACUUGCAAGGAUCGUCUACGACCUAUCUUCUGAACGAUUCGUGGGAGAGACGUAACAAGGGAGGUUGAAACAACGCUAGCGGAGGUUAAAUGAUGUAUAAAGUGCGUUAACCGACACCACUCACCGUGCAACACACGCAUAUCGCGUUCACGGUAUAAACGUAGGCGUGGCUGGUUUGAUAUCAACGAUGGCCACCUUUCGACUGUAAAUCAAUCGAUAUCACGCCGGCAGGAGGGGCUUUUCAUAGGGUUUGCACGGGCCUGAAAUACGACUCGAGGGUGGAAGCAUGCGCCAAAUGCUGAAUGUGAAUCGACCCGCCCCGAAACCUUUUAUCCCGACACCGAUCGCCUCUCGCCACUGUCUUUCUCUCUCGCCUACCCACCGGUUCGCCAGUGUCGCGCCGAUAAAUUUCGAUAAACAUCUGGCUCGAUUGAUUCCGUUCCCGGUGUUAAUUAGCUCGCGUCUAGUACCGCUUUCACAGCAUCGAUCGAUUCCGCCGCGUUAAUGUCUUGAGAUCGCGAUCACCUUGUCUCUCGUUUCUUCUUUAGAGAUCUUUUAAUUGGAUUGUUUAUCGAGAUUGUUUGCUCUCUUUCAUUUCUUUUCUUAUUUUUUCCUCAUUAAGGUGGAUUUUCAGUUUCCUUUCCCAUUUAUGAACGGAAAUACUUUAAUUUCCUUUUAUUUAUCAUAGUUUACUUAAGUAAAUAGUUGGAACUUUGUAGAAUUAUAAUUAUAUUAUUAGGAACUCUAUACAAUAUUGACUGGACGUUUGUAUCUUUGAUUAAUAAUCAUUGAUACCACUUAUUACAAAACUGAAAUGUUAUUUCAAUAUGCACAGAUAUGUAAACUUGGAGUAUACAAUUUUUAUGAAAUACUGUUCCGAAAUUAAAUUUUGACCAGGGUCGAUUCUUGAUGGUUUACAACGAGGAUUUUAAUGCAACUUAUCUCUUCAAUGGGACCUAAUUUUGAGACAGUAGAUUGACUGCUGAGGAAACUAGUGAAUUAUUGAACUUUAAUGUUGACAUCAUCUAUCGGAGUACGUUUAAAGUACUGUUUUGUUAGUUUUGUUAAAAUUGUUAGUUUUGUCUUUAGCCUAGUGUAAUUCAGUUCUUGAAAAGAAUUUUUAAGUUUAAUAUGCCCCGUAUCUAUAAGCAAACAUCAAAUUCCAAGUUUCAGUAUAUUGCUAUCUCAUGCAAAGUCGAAGCCUUUGAUCUUGUAAAAAAGGGCCGUAUCUUAUUCGCUUAUUAGAAACGGAACCGCCGUUAAUUACUUGGAUAAUUCGGUUCAUUGGUGCCGCGUAAUUAUUUAAUCGACUAUUUAUCAGUCCGCAGCAUCGUCGGUGUAUUUGUACAAACGUUUGAAUAAGGUUUAUCCUGACCGGCGACUAAACCAUACAAUCAAGGAAUUAUCUAGGAGCAAAGGAACAGGAUGGAUGUUGAAGAUAGAACAAGUAUACGUUGAUACGUGGCUCAUGAUAGUGGGAAUAUUUAAUUCGAUCUUUAAAUAAUUCUUACAAGGUAUAAGUGCCCGAUAUUGUAUCGAGCCUUCCGUAUUAGCAUAGGUAAAUAAAUAACUAAGUUAUUUUUAAACAGUCUAUCGAGACGACGUUCUCGCUAAGUUGCACUUUAUUUACACGACAAUUUAUAUCAAUCUUUUUUAUAUAUACAUAUACGUAUAUAUAUGUAUAUUUAUAUAUAUAUAUACCUAUACAUAUACUUUGUUUCUAUUUACUCUUCUUCAUACAUACAUAUAUGUAUAAUGUUUUCUAUUGCACGUCGCAAUCGUACGAUAUCUUACAUUUUUACAAUAAAUUAACGAAACGAAACUAGGACUUUACAUUUU
Long non-coding RNA from Bombus huntii, 6803 nucleotides. RefSeq lists it as uncharacterized. The transcript has 6 exons. The record is from RefSeq and is a predicted model, not a curated record. Lineage: Eukaryota; Metazoa; Arthropoda; Insecta; Hymenoptera; Apidae.